This is a non-coding RNA of Rattus norvegicus (Norway rat), 45 nucleotides long. The record is from Rfam. Lineage: Eukaryota; Metazoa; Chordata; Mammalia; Rodentia; Muridae.
CCAACGGCUCUUUUCAGAGCCACCCACAGAUUCGGAAAACAGUGU